This 430-nucleotide ribosomal RNA is filed under the name uncultured archaeon. RNAcentral's name for it is "bacterial SSU rRNA". It matches the Rfam family "Archaeal small subunit ribosomal RNA", at positions 474 to 903 of the family's 1478-position model. The record is from RNAcentral.
UACCUGCAGCUCGAGUGGUAACCGCUAUUAUUGGGCCUAAAGCGUCCGUAGCCGGUUUGGUAAAUAUCUGGGUAAAUCGUGAGGCUUAACUUCACGAAUUUCGGAUAGACUGCCAGACUUGGGAUCGGGGGAGGUCAGAGGUACUCCAGGGGUAGCGGUGAAAUGUUGUAAUCCUUGGAGGACCACCGGUAGCGAAGGCGUCUGACUAGAACGAGUCCGACGGUGAGGGACGAAGCCCUGGGGCGCAAACCGGAUUAGAUACCCGGGUAGUCCAGGGUGUAAACUAUGUGGGCUUUGUAUUGGAGGUCCCACGUGGGCGUCCAGUGCAGAAGAGAAGUUGUUAAGGCCCACCGCCUGGGAAGUACGGUCGCAAGGCUGAAACUUAAAGGAAUUGGCGGGGGAGCACAGCAACGGGAGGAGCGUGCGGUUU